RNAcentral lists this ribosomal RNA (403 nucleotides) under bacterium. Its description in RNAcentral is "partial 16S ribosomal RNA". It matches the Rfam family "Bacterial small subunit ribosomal RNA", at positions 355 to 776 of the family's 1533-position model. The record is from RNAcentral. RNAcentral also lists the same sequence under 1 other name.
UGGGGAAUAUUGCACAAUGGAGGGAACUCUGAUGCAGCGACGCCGCGUGAACGAAGAAGGCUUUCGAGUCGUAAAGUUCUUUUAUAUGGGGAGAUAAUGACGGUACCAUAAGAAAAAGCCCCGGCUAACUACGUGCCAGCAGCCGCGGUAAUACGUAGGGGGCUAGCGUUGUCCGGAAUCACUGGGCGUAAAGGGUUCGCAGGCGGAAAUGCAAGUCAGGUGUAAAAGGCAGUAGCUUAACUACUGUAAGCAUUUGAAACUGCAUAUCUUGAGAAGAGUAGAGGUAAGUGGAAUUUUUAGUGUAGCGGUGAAAUGCGUAGAUAUUAAAAAGAAUACCGGUGGCGAAGGCGACUUACUGGGCUCAUUCUGACGCUGAGGAACGAAAGCGUGGGUAGCAAACAGG